GCCUGGGUGGCACAGCGGUUGAGCGUCUGCCUUCGGCUCAGGGCGUGAUCCUGGCGUUGUGGGAUCGAGCCCCACACCAGGCU
Molecule: transfer RNA, 83 nt
Filed under: Ailuropoda melanoleuca (giant panda)
Lineage: Eukaryota; Metazoa; Chordata; Mammalia; Carnivora; Ursidae
Rfam family: tRNA
About the family: Transfer RNA (tRNA) molecules are approximately 80 nucleotides in length. Their secondary structure includes four short double-helical elements and three loops (D, anti-codon, and T loops).
Source: Rfam by way of RNAcentral